RNAcentral lists this ribosomal RNA (487 nucleotides) under uncultured bacterium. RNAcentral's name for it is "partial 16S ribosomal RNA". It matches the Rfam family "Bacterial small subunit ribosomal RNA", at positions 28 to 507 of the family's 1533-position model. The record is from RNAcentral.
GACGAACGCUGGCGGCGUGCUUAACACAUGCAAGUCGAACGGACAGUCCCCCAUCUUGGUGGGGGUGCUCGAGUGGCGAACGGAUGAGUAACUCGUGGGUGAUCUGCCCUGUACUUCGGGAUAAUCAUGCCAAACUGGGUCUAAUACGGGAUAGGAUCUUGCUUUUAUGUCUCAUGGCGGAUAGAUUAUUGUUUUGGUACAGGAUGAGCUUGCAGCCUAUCAAGUUGUUGGUGGUCUAAUGGCCUACCCAGGCGUCGACGGGUAGCCGGGCUGAGGUGCUGGACGGGGACAGUGGGACUGAGAUGCGGCCCAGAGACCGACGGAAGGCAGCAGUGGGGAAGAGUGGAAGAUGGGGGGAAGCCUGAUGAAGGGACGACGGGCUGGGGAUGACGUGCUUCGGGUAGUAAAAUCCUUUCGUGAGUGAAGAAGCCUCGCUUUUUGGGCGUGGUGACGGGACCUUUGUGAAGAAGCACCGGCUAACUACGUG